This 385-nucleotide unclassified non-coding RNA is filed under the name soil metagenome. RNAcentral describes it as "partial contains 5.8S ribosomal RNA, internal transcribed spacer 2, and large subunit ribosomal RNA". The stretch from base 1 to 120 matches the Rfam family "5.8S ribosomal RNA", at positions 35 to 154 of the family's 154-position model. The record is from RNAcentral.
GAUGAAGAACGUAGCGAAAUGCGAUAAGUAAUGUGAAUUGCAGAAUUCAGUGAAUCAUCGAAUCUUUGAACGCAUCUUGCGCUCCAUGGUAUUCCGAGGAGCAUGCCUGUUUGAGUGUCAUUAAAUUCUCAACUCUCCUAUACUUUGUUGUAAAGGAAAGCUUGGAUUGUGGAGGCUUGCUGGCCCCUUGCUUGAGGUCAGCUCCUCUGAAAUGCAUUAGCGGAACUGUUUGCGAUCUGCCACAAGUGUGAUAAAUUAUCUACACUAGCGCAGGGAUUGCUCUCUGUGUUCAGCUUCUAAUCGUCUCAGUGACAAUUUCUUGAAUGCUUGACCUCAAAUCAGGUAGGACUACCCGCUGAACUUAAGCAUAUCAAUAAGCGGAGGA